RNAcentral lists this long non-coding RNA (268 nucleotides) under Bos taurus (domestic cattle). Its description in RNAcentral is "long non-coding RNA NONBTAT014037". Lineage: Eukaryota; Metazoa; Chordata; Mammalia; Artiodactyla; Bovidae. The record is from RNAcentral.
GCUAAUUAAAACUUUAGUAGGUAAAAUUAAAAUUCUCAAAAAUUAAUUUUUGAAUAGGCUAAUACAUUCACAUGGUAUAAAAGGAUAUGCAGUAAAAUGUAAGUCUGCUUCUCUCUUUUAAGCCCCAUCCAAGUUUCUCUCUGCAGAGGCAACCAAUGUUUAGUGUCUUACACAGCCUUCCAGACAAUUUAUGCAUAAAGAAUCAAUGACAUGUGUUUCCUGAUUUUAUAAAAGUGAGAUAUACCAUGCAUAAUGACAUGUACCUUGC